GCAUCUUUGGGGGGAAGCGCCGGCCCAUGUUCCUUGGAACAGGACGUCGCAAAGGGUGAGAAUCCCGUGCCAGGCCGGCUGACUCCUCCCGAGUGAAGGGCCUUCCACGAGUCGAGUUGUUUGGGAAUGCAGCUCCAAGUGGGUGGUAAAUUUCAUCUAAAGCUAAAUACCGGCGGGAGACCGAUAGCGCACAAGUAGAGUGAUCGAAAGAUGAAAAGCACUUUGAAAAUAGAGUCAAAAAGUACGUGAAAUUGUUGAAAGGGAAGCGCUUGAGACCAGACUCGGACCUGAGCAAACACCGCGCCCCUCGGGGCCGUGCAAUUGCCCGGGGCUGGGCCAGCAUCAGUUGGCGUGGCGGGAAAAGGCGCGGGCAAUGUGGCUCCCCUCGGGGAGUGUUAUUAGGCCCGCGCUGAAUGCCGUCGACGCCGACUGAGGACCGCGCCUCGGCUAGGAUGCUGGCUUAAUGGCCUUCAGCGACCCGUCUUGAAACACGGA
RNAcentral lists this ribosomal RNA (495 nucleotides) under Helvella sp. RNAcentral describes it as "eukaryotic LSU rRNA". It matches the Rfam family "Eukaryotic large subunit ribosomal RNA", at positions 158 to 665 of the family's 3401-position model. The record is from RNAcentral. Lineage: Eukaryota; Fungi; Ascomycota; Pezizomycetes; Pezizales; Helvellaceae.